AAAGAUCCCUCCUCUCGCUCUAUUUAAGGAGGAGAUCCCUCCUCUCUCCUUUCCACCGAAGAUCCUAAGCCCAGUCGGCGGCAAUCAUCGAAAAACCACCGCGGAAGACCGACCUGUGCCCGUCCAAUUUGCUCGUCGGAAAAGCCUCGCCGGUGUCGGAGGUAAGCCUCCUUCCCUUCCUCUCUUCUCUCCUUUUCUUUGUAUGCCGGUGUACAUGCUCGCCGACGACCGGAGUCGCCGGAUUUCUUUGAGAAAAAGGAGGGUUUCCGGUUCCGUUGGAUGUUUGGGUGCCGGUGGUCACUGCCGACCACCGGUUUGGCCCUC
RNAcentral lists this long non-coding RNA (324 nucleotides) under Elaeis guineensis (African oil palm). Its description in RNAcentral is "long non-coding RNA (EGUI_LNC011584)". The record is from RNAcentral. Lineage: Eukaryota; Viridiplantae; Streptophyta; Magnoliopsida; Arecales; Arecaceae.